Molecule: ribosomal RNA, 477 nt
Filed under: Triticum aestivum (bread wheat)
Lineage: Eukaryota; Viridiplantae; Streptophyta; Magnoliopsida; Poales; Poaceae
Description: partial small subunit ribosomal RNA
Source: RNAcentral
AUGGACAAUGAGUACUCAAUGGGAUACUAUCUCACCAAUGGAAUUUAUACCGAGUGGGCAACUUUUGUGAAGUUCAUCAAGGAGAAAAAUGGGGUGCCCUUAACCAGUAAACAGGCUCAUUUCACCAAGGCACAAGAGGCAGCCCGCAAGGAUAUUGAGAGAGCUUUCGAUGUUUUGCAAGCUAGGUUUGCCAUAGUUCGGGGUCCAGCUCGUUUUUGGGAAAAAAAAACCUUGGAGAACAUCAUGAAAUGUUGUGUGAUUCUACACAACAUGAUCCUCGAGGAUGAGAGAGGGUUAAACCUGCCUUGUUUCUAUGACAAUGUCGGUACCCGUGUGCAACCGGAAAGAAACCGGUGUUGCAUACAAGCUUUUCUUGAAGCACAUCAUGAGAUUGAGGAUGCAAACACUCAUGGUCAGCUCCGGGAUGAUCUAGUAGAGCACCAGUGGCAGUUGGAUGGGCGGCGCCAAGGCCCAUGA